Molecule: long non-coding RNA, 1566 nt
Filed under: Strongylocentrotus purpuratus (purple sea urchin)
Lineage: Eukaryota; Metazoa; Echinodermata; Echinoidea; Camarodonta; Strongylocentrotidae
Description: uncharacterized LOC762492
Source: RNAcentral
CAUUCAAGGAGAAGAGAUGAAUAGCAUUGACGUCAUUUACAUUGUAAUGCUUGUUAUAGUGCGACCUUUAGCAAUACAAUGGGCAGAUUAGGGCUUUUUAUAAAUCUGAAAUGAAAAGAAUUUGAAUCUAUAUAUUAUCUGUGACACCCUUUGCACACUGCGCACAACUACCUCAGUCUCUCAAACUUGGCGGUAUCAGGUUCAGUUCUUACUCAAAGAAUUUGCUGUGAAACUUCUGUCAUCAUUCAUCAGGGAAGAUGCAGCGUGUUCUUGUAAUAUUGAUCAUUUCUAUGAUUCUUGUGGCUGGUGUUGUGGAAGGAGCAGAAGGGGAAAAGCUUGUCACAAGGCGUCGUCGUCGUUCGUUUGUCCUUGUGAGAAAAAGCAGAGACGUGCCUGGGGAAAUGUCAUCGCUGAAAGUGAAGAAGGAAGAGAAAAACCAGCUCAAGGAGGAGGAUUUGGAAGAAAAAUAAAGGCCACACCAUCAGACGACCUGUGUGUAGCUUUCAAAAUAGUAUUAAUAUAAUAACAAUGUCUUCCAUAGCGAAAGUAUCAGCCUUCUAGGCACUCAUUUGGCUUGCUCCAAGAUUCUUGUAUGAUACAUGUAAUCUGGUAAACUCAUGGCCCGAAUUCACAAAGCAAGGUUUGAGCUCAGACCAAGGUUUGAGCUCAAACCUCCUUUUGUUUCGCCAAACCUCCUUUUGUUCUUUACAAACCAGGUUUGUAAAAAACGCGUAAAACGCGUCAUAUGACGUACGAAAACCAAGGUUUGUCGACAAACCUCCUUUGUGAAUUCGGGCCUGUAGGUUUACUGCUUGUGAUACAAUUAAAACAAUAUCGAAUAGUGCAAGAAGUAGUUUGCAGUGUUCAGUCAAUACAUUAACCAUGUUAAUUAUGGAUCACAUUUACCGUCUUAAAUAACAUAUCAAUUUUUAUUUCCUUAUAAUGGUUUAGUAUUGUUAUGUAUUGGCAAAUGCAUUUUUGUUAUUUAUUUUUUAUUUGUAUAAUUCAGCCUAGACUGUGAGACAGAUUAAUGUUAUACAAUUAAAUUAAAAUACCAUUAAAUACAUAUUUAUUUGACAAGCACAUCAGAAUGGCUAGUUCUUUUCAAGUUGAAGAGAUGUGUCUUUCCAUGGUAAAAGCUGCUCGGACACAAAAUGGAAGGUCAUUCCAAACCUUUGCGGCAGGCACUAGGAAUGAACAUUCACCCAUCUGUCUAUCUUUUCUGCUCUUUCUCUUUCUUCACUAUAUAUAUAUAUAUCUUUCUCACUCUCUCUCUCUUUCUCUUUUAACCUCUUUUCUCUAUACAUCACUCCCUUAUCUCUUCCUCACUUUCAUAUUUUAUUUCAGUACAUAUUCCUCAUUUUCUUCUUGCUCGUAUUUUUGUUUUUAUUUUGCAUUUGGUACAAUAUUAAGGAUAAACGUGUGAUAUAUACGUGCACUUAUGUAAAUGAUACUGUUUUAAAUGGCACAGUUGUUUUUUAAAUGCAAUGUAUAUCCACGUGCAAUUCAAUAUAUGUAACCGCGAUGCAUGAUUCAAUAAAUACAAUACCAGACGACACCAUGUAA